UUUCAAAGAAGGUAUGAAAAUGUCCAACAGGUAUAUGGAAAGGUGCUCAAAAUCACUAGUCAUCAGGAAAAUGCAAAUCAAAACCACAGUGAGAUCUCAUCUCACAUUUGUUAAAAUGGCUGUUAA
Non-coding RNA from Vicugna pacos (alpaca), 126 nucleotides. Lineage: Eukaryota; Metazoa; Chordata; Mammalia; Artiodactyla; Camelidae. The record is from RefSeq and is a predicted model, not a curated record.